GACGAACGCUGGCGGCGUGCCUAAUACAUGCAAGUAGAACGCUGAAGGAGGAGCUUGCUUCUCUGGAUGAGUUGCGAACGGGUGAGUAACGCGUAGGUAACCUGCCUGGUAGUGGGGGAUAACUAUUGGAAACGAUAGCUACUACCGCAUAAUAGCAGUUGUUGCAUGAUAACUGUUUGAAAGGUGCAAUUGCACCGCUACCAGAUGGACCUGCGUUGUAUUAGCUAGUUGGUGGGGUAACGGCUCACCAAGGCGACGAUACAUAGCCGACCUGGGAGGGUGGUCGGCCACACUGGGACUGAGACACGGCCCAGACUCCUACGGGAGGGAGCAGGAGGGAAUCUUCGGCAAUGGACGGAAGUCUGACCGAGCAACGCCGCGGGAGGGAAGAAGGGUUUCGGAUCGUAAAGCUCUGUUGUAAGAGAAGAACGAGUGUGAGAGUGGAAAGUUCACACUGUGACGGUAUCUUAACAGAAAGGGACGGCUAACUACGUG
This 495-nucleotide ribosomal RNA is filed under the name uncultured bacterium. RNAcentral describes it as "partial 16S ribosomal RNA". It matches the Rfam family "Bacterial small subunit ribosomal RNA", at positions 28 to 507 of the family's 1533-position model. The record is from RNAcentral.